This 484-nucleotide ribosomal RNA is filed under the name uncultured bacterium. RNAcentral's name for it is "partial 16S ribosomal RNA". It matches the Rfam family "Bacterial small subunit ribosomal RNA", at positions 30 to 507 of the family's 1533-position model. The record is from RNAcentral.
AUUGAACGCUGGCGGCAGGCCUAACACAUGCAAGUCGAGCGGAUGAAGGGAGCUUGCUCUUGGCUUCCGCGGCGGACGGGCGAGUAAUGCCCAGGAAUCUGCCUGGCAGUGGGGGAUAACGUCAGGUAACGGGCGCUAAUACCGUACACGUCCAGAGGGUGAACGUGAGGGUUCUUUGGACCUAACGCUAUUAGAUGUGCCUAGGGCGGAUUAGCUCGUUGGUGGGGUAAAGGCCUACCAAGGCGACGUUCCGUAACUGGUCUGCGUGGGUGAUCAGUCACACUGGAACUGGGACACGGUCCAGACUCCUACGGGAGGCAAGAGUGGGGAAUAUUUGACAAUGGGCGAAAGCCUGAACCAGCCAUGCCGCGUGUGUUAAGGAGGUCUUCGGAUUGUAAAACACUUUUAAUUGGGAAGAAGGGAAGUAAUUUGAUACCUUGCUGUUUUUACGUGACCAACAGAAUAAGCACCGGCUAACUUCGUG